This 633-nucleotide ribosomal RNA is filed under the name Sphaerellopsis melampsorinearum. RNAcentral's name for it is "Sphaerellopsis sp. PAGZ-2023a partial large subunit ribosomal RNA". It matches the Rfam family "Eukaryotic large subunit ribosomal RNA", at positions 171 to 823 of the family's 3401-position model. Lineage: Eukaryota; Fungi; Ascomycota; Dothideomycetes; Pleosporales; Leptosphaeriaceae. The record is from RNAcentral.
UGGCAGCGGUCCAAGUUCCUUGGAACAGGACGUCACAGAGGGUGAGAAUCCCGUACGUGGUCGCUAGCCUCCGCCGUGUAAAGCCCCUUCGACGAGUCGAGUUGUUUGGGAAUGCAGCUCUAAAUGGGAGGUAAAUUUCUUCUAAAGCUAAAUACUGGCCAGAGACCGAUAGCGCACAAGUAGAGUGAUCGAAAGAUGAAAAGCACUUUGGAAAGAGAGUCAAAUAGCACGUGAAAUUGUUGAAAGGGAAGCGCUUGCAGCCAGACUUGCCUGUAGUUGCUCAUCCGGGCUUUUGCCCGGUGCACUCUUCUACAGGCAGGCCAGCAUCAGUUUGGGCGGUUGGAUAAAGGUCUCUAUCACGUACCUCUCUUCGGGGAGGCCUUAUAGGGGAGACGUCAUGCAACCAGCCUGGACUGAGGUCCGCGCAUUUGCUAGGAUGCUGGCGUAAUGGCUGUAAGCGGCCCGUCUUGAAACACGGACCAAGGAGUCUAACAUCUAUGCGAGUGUUUGGGUGUCAAGCCCGAGCGCGUAAUGAAAGUGAACGGAGGUGGGAACCCUUUGGGUGCACCAUCGACCGAUCCUGAUGUCUUCGGAAGGAUUUGAGUAAGAGCAUGGCUGUUGGGACCCGAAAGA